GUAGCUGGUCUGAGAGGAUGGCCAGCCACACUGGRACUGAGACACGGUCCAGACUCCUACGGGAGGCAGCAGUGGGGAAUAUUGGACAAUGGGGGCAACCCUGAUCCAGCAAUGCCGCGUGUGUGAAGAAGGCCUGAGGGUUGUAAAGCACUUUCAGUGGGGAGGAGGRUUGAUAGGUUAAGAGCUGAUUAAUUGGACGUUACCCACAGAAGAAGCACCGGCUAACUCCGUGCCAGCAGCCGCGGUAAUACGGAGGGUGCGAGCGUUAAUCGGAAUUACUGGGCGUAAAGGGUGCGUAGGUGGUUGAWUAAGUUAUCUGUGAAAUCCCUGGGCUUAACCUGGGCAGGACAGAUAAWACUGUUURACUCGAGUAUGG
RNAcentral lists this ribosomal RNA (376 nucleotides) under uncultured Legionella sp. RNAcentral's name for it is "bacterial SSU rRNA". It matches the Rfam family "Bacterial small subunit ribosomal RNA", at positions 283 to 651 of the family's 1533-position model. The record is from RNAcentral. Lineage: Bacteria; Pseudomonadati; Pseudomonadota; Gammaproteobacteria; Legionellales; Legionellaceae.